CCAGCACAGCAGCUGCCUUCGGGCCAGUCGGGAGUUAAGGGAAGGAAAGGCAAGGCAAGUUACAAGAUAAAAGAAAUCAACGGAAGCCUCAAAUACUUUUUUUUUUUUUAAGAAAAGAACAAAAAGGGGGAGUUAAGUUUUCUUUUUCAUUUUUAUACAUCUGGACUUAACUUCCGGGAUCGCUGCAAGACCCUUUUGUUCCUUUGCCAUGAGCAGGUUUUAGGCCGCUCUGUUGGGACCAUGGUGUUACCUUCGCGAUUACACUGGAUCAGAAACAGGCCAUGGAGGGACAGGAUCCGGAGGCGCCAGCUCAACCGUCCAUGAAAGACCUCCUCCUCCUCCACCUCCCUCUACAAUAUAUGAGUAUCCUCUCCACCUCCCUCUACAAUAUUUUAUACAGAAUCGGGAGGAUCCUAUGAAUUUCCCACUGGAUUAAAAACAUGACACAAUCCAAGGAGACAGCAUACCCAGUAGAGCCAUAUAGACGGUCGUAAACACCGUUUCACCAGGCUGCACAGAUGAUGCCGCUCUUCCCUUCACCUCCCAUCCUGUCGAAAAGGUUUUGUUAUUUUGUGCUCAUUUCAGAAGCUGAUGUGUAAAUGGUGUGUAUGUCUGUUGCCAUGACAACCCAGCAGCAAUUGGCCUGGGCUUCUUACCAGAGUACAAAUGUGCUCUUGAUACGAUGCUUAUCAGACUUUGCCAGACAAUUUUCCCUCCUGGAUUCACACAAAAGGUUUCAAAGACUCCUAACUGCAUUUAGAGGAGAGACAGGCUGAAAUUUCUCACUUGGCUCACAUGAAUGAUGAAGCUCUAAAGCUCUGAUCCCCUGCUGAAGUCAUAGUGUUCUAGUCUAUCAUUUCAGUACGCUGGGGGCAACUCUGUAUAAUUAAAGAGGACCAAGUAUAAAUGCAGCAAAAAAAUCUUGCUGGUUACCAGAACUGGGCUUUUGUUGAUGUUUCAUGUGACACAUAACUAUCUCUGCAUUUAAUAAAAGGUCACUGUGACUGCCUGUGUUCUUAUUCC
This 1023-nucleotide long non-coding RNA is filed under the name Pongo abelii (Sumatran orangutan). Its description in RNAcentral is "lincRNA". The record is from RNAcentral. Lineage: Eukaryota; Metazoa; Chordata; Mammalia; Primates; Hominidae.